UACGUAGGGUGCGAGCGUUGUCCGGAAUUAUUGGGCGUAAAGAGCUCGUAGGCGGUCUGUCGCGUCGGUCGUGAAAACUUGGGGCUUAACCCUGAGCUUGCGGUCGAUACGGGCAUGACUGGAGUUCGGUAGGGGAGACUGGAAUUCCUGGUGUAGCGGUGAAAUGCGCAGAUAUCAGGAGGAACACCGGUGGCGAAGGCGGGUCUCUGGGCCGAUACCGACGCUGAGGAGCGAAAGCGCGGGGAGCGAACAGG
RNAcentral lists this ribosomal RNA (254 nucleotides) under uncultured bacterium. Its description in RNAcentral is "partial 16S ribosomal RNA". It matches the Rfam family "Bacterial small subunit ribosomal RNA", at positions 524 to 776 of the family's 1533-position model. The record is from RNAcentral.